CUCACUAUCUCUCUCCCAUCGUCAACAACCAGGGGAAAUCCUUUCCCAUCACUACUGUAGCUUGUUUUUCUCUCUCGGCUCUCUAGAGAGAGAAAGUAGAUCUAAAAUCAAUUCAUCCCCUCCCCCUUCUCCGACUUCCCGAUCUAGAUCAUUCCGGCCUCCCCCUUUUCAUGUCGCAAACUUUCAAAAGGAGGGUUGGCAGCUGGCGGAGCAAUUGGAAGCGUUGUUAGGAAUCUCAGUUGUCUUUUGUGUUCUCUCUACAUCCCAGUUCUCUCUCUUACUCGUCCUGUUCAUCUCCCCACCAUCUGAACCGCUGCACCACCAACCUUCUCCGAUUGCCGGCGACCGCCAACGAUUACUGGUGAUCACCAUCUAUCUCCAGUGACCACCAUCGAUAAUCGGUGACCACCGAUGCAUUACCCCUCCUCAAUCGAUCGUCCAAUUUCAAUCCGUCAGGUCCCCAAUCUGACAAUCUGUGCUUAGGCACCGAAUCAGAACCUGAAAAAGAAAAAGAAUCACCCAAACACUCAGAUCGUUUUGAGGUUAUUCACAGUCCAAGUUUUGAGGUGCUUCCUGAGGCCAUCGGAAUCGUUCAGCCAAACUAAGGAUGUGAAUUGAUUGAGAUUGAGGACCCGAAAAGAUGACCCGCCUAUUUCAUUUCUUUCGAAUUUCCUCUCUUUCCCUAUAUUCCACACCAACUUAGCCUCCGCCUAGAGAGAGGAAGCUUCCACCUUUCAAAUCAAACUCGGAGAAAUCAAGGAUGACAAAAUAAAGAAAUUGAAGAGGACGAGACGUUUUGGAUUAUGAGGUUAAUUGAUCAGCUUGAUAGGUGACUAGAGCUAGCUAGCGAGAAGUAUCCCACAAGCCAUUAUACUCUAGUAAAAUAUGAUCCUGCAUUCAUAAUGCAUUUGCUUCAAAGUGUAUCAGACUCAGCCGCCAUUCUUCAACUGCGUUACUGAUUUUGUUUCAGGUUUUCUCAUUUAGAGGAAUAAGAAACGUCUUUUUCUUUGUUCCUUCUAUUUGUUCAGUUUAUUUGGUUGCAUUUUUUUAUUUACUUUGAUGUUCAAUUUAUGUGUUCCAUAUUGAUUUUGAAUAUCCUUUUGGACUUAUUUUGGCACAAUUUCUCAUCCAUAUUUUAAAAGUGAAAGUAAGUAUAAAGCAUUAAGUUUCACUAUACACAAGCAAGUCCAGCUUUUAUUUGAUUGGAUGGGACUUGCACGACUUUGGGGUGGUUCAAUGCCAAUUAUUCAGCAUGCUUUGCAGGCAGUUAAGGAAGGUGGUAAGCAUGUAUCAUUUAUAGACAAUUAUGAAAACAAGUAUCAAGAUGCAGAGCAUAAGUGGGUAAGUGAGGUUAAACGAGUGAGACAUGUAAGUUUUCGAUCAAUAUCUUUGUUCAAAUACAUAUAAGCAAGGAACAUAUAUAAGAAACUACACGAACAGUGUCAUUCUUUUUCUUAAUCUUGCCAAUCAAAUUGAAUGAAUACUUUUUAUGUUUGAGAUCUGUUGUUUAAUACUGCUAACGUGUGCUUGUGGUUUCUCUGUCUUACUUAUUCAGGGGCUUGCUUGAGAGCUGGGGAAUUUUCUUCUUGGAAUACACAGUUAUUACACUGUCAGCAUACUUAAAGAUCACAAGUUGGUAGAUUUGGCCAAAUGACAUAUGAUGAUCAGCUGACUUCUCCAAUAAUACCAAGUCUCCAAAUGACAUGAUGAUCAGCUUUCGUAGAAGUAAUUCCUCAAAAGUAAAGCUACAGAUAUUAAUUACUGGAAGGAGGUAAAUUUUCCCAGCAGCCUAGCUCUUAGAGGAUACUACAGGACUGAAAUUGUAUGUUAGAUACAUGAAGCUUUUAUUAGUCCAAGGUGAAUGGGGCUUAGGCAUGCCAGGCCAGACGUUUAAACUCGUUGUUUAAAGGAGAAAAUAUAUGUAAAUGUGGAUUUAUUUUGCUGCAAUUAUGUCUCAAUGUAAUUAUUUAAUAAUGCAUUUGAUAUCCAGCAUUUUGCCAUUCCCUGAA
This is a long non-coding RNA of Rosa chinensis, 2009 nucleotides long. RefSeq lists it as uncharacterized. The transcript is spliced from 6 exons. The record is from RefSeq and is a predicted model, not a curated record. NCBI's taxonomy places the organism in Eukaryota, Viridiplantae, Streptophyta, Magnoliopsida, Rosales, Rosaceae.